RNAcentral lists this ribosomal RNA (465 nucleotides) under Vreelandella stevensii. Its description in RNAcentral is "partial 16S ribosomal RNA". It matches the Rfam family "Bacterial small subunit ribosomal RNA", at positions 338 to 795 of the family's 1533-position model. Lineage: Bacteria; Pseudomonadati; Pseudomonadota; Gammaproteobacteria; Oceanospirillales; Halomonadaceae. The record is from RNAcentral.
CCUACGGGGGGCUGCAGUGGGGAAUAUUGGACAAUGGGGGCAACCCUGAUCCAGCCAUGCCGCGUGUGUGAAGAAGGCCCUCGGGUUGUAAAGCACUUUCAGUGAGGAAGAACGCCUGGUGGUUAAUACCCAUCAGGAAAGACAUCACUCACAGAAGAAGCACCGGCUAACUCCGUGCCAGCAGCCGCGGUAAUACGGAGGGUGCGAGCGUUAAUCGGAAUUACUGGGCGUAAAGCGCGCGUAGGUGGCUUGAUAAGCCGGUUGUGAAAGCCCCGGGCUCAACCUGGGAACGGCAUCCGGAACUGUCAAGCUAGAGUGCAGGAGAGGAAGGUAGAAUUCCCGGUGUAGCGGUGAAAUGCGUAGAGCUCGGGAGGAAUACCAGUGGCGAAGGCGGCCUUCUGGACUGACACUGACACUGAGGUGCGAAAGCGUGGGUAGCAAACAGGAUUAGAUACCCGAGUAGUC